This 292-nucleotide ribosomal RNA is filed under the name uncultured Alphaproteobacteria bacterium. RNAcentral describes it as "partial 16S ribosomal RNA". The record is from RNAcentral. Lineage: Bacteria; Pseudomonadati; Pseudomonadota; Alphaproteobacteria.
GGACUACUGGGGUUUCUAAUCCUGUUUGCUCCCCACGCUUUCGCGCCUCAGCGUCAGUAUCGGGCCAGUGUGUCGCCUUCGCCACUGGUGUUCUUCCGAAUAUCUACGAAUUUCACCUCUACACUCGGAGUUCCACACACCUCUCCCGAACUCUAGGUGCCCAGUAUCAAAGGCAGUUCCAGGGUUGAGCCCUGGGAUUUAACCUCUGACUUAAACACCCGCCUACGCGCCCUUUACGCCCAGUAAUUCCGAGCAACGCUAGCCCCCUUCGUAUUACCGCGGCGGCUGGCAC